RNAcentral lists this long non-coding RNA (1073 nucleotides) under Elaeis guineensis (African oil palm). RNAcentral's name for it is "long non-coding RNA (EGUI_LNC006921)". Lineage: Eukaryota; Viridiplantae; Streptophyta; Magnoliopsida; Arecales; Arecaceae. The record is from RNAcentral.
CAUCGCAAAGCUAUCUGAACCUACCAAAUUCCUGUUUGGUCCAAUACCUAGUGUGUCAUUUUCUUGGAUGUUCCAUGAGAGCUUUAGAAACAGUUUCAAGCCUCCUGCUUUGUCCUGUGCUUAUGUGUGUAAUGACUUAUGAAUCCAUAAUGGCCAUCACAUGGACGUUAUGAUUGUUAUGAAAAUGGAAUCCCCAUUGCAGGUCAAAAAGAAAAAUGAUCAAGGAAUUAAUUGACUACGUUACAAAGCAGCAAAUCCCAUAAUUGUAACUAACAAGAUUUGGUACUGUCUUUGGAGAUUAAAAAAGGCUUUUUGACAAGUUUUGUGUCUUAGAGUAAAGAAAGGGUGUUAGAGCCAAUACUUUAUGGCACAGCUGAAGAUAUGGAGCGAGGAAAGUCUUGCUAUUGGACAUGUUCUUUUCCAAAUUUGUCGAUGUCUCCGGAAAGAUAUGGCCCAGCAGUCAGUAACGUGUUCUCUUUGGAGAAUCAAGAGGAAAUUGUGUAGAUUCUUUUUCACUUGCUAUGCACUCUUGCUUCUUUAACAAUAGCCGAACUAGUUAGAGCAUAUACUUUAUUAAAAUUUCAGCAUAAAGAGAAGUUUAGAGAGCAUGGAUAAAGCCCCAGAAUAAUUUCCAUUACAACAGUAGAGAUUAUGGAGUAGAUGUAAGUUCACUGCACUUGCUAGUCAGGCAUAUAAAACUGCUCACUGUGAUAAGCUGCUUUUGUCUCCACGUGGAGGAUCCCAUGGUGUAUGCUUGGAGCCAUAAUCUGUGAACGUGUUUGAGUUUUUUUAAUUAUUAUUAUUAUUAUUAUUUUGAGAAUAUUGAACGUGGCUAGGUUAUGUAUAGGGGAUCUUCCAUGAUUGUUGUGCGAUCUUUUAGAUGGAAGAUCGUGAUAAUUUAUUAAUCGGAACCCAGAUAAUGAAAAAGGUAUUCUGCUCUAAUGCUUGUGAUCAUGGCAAAAUUCGUUUUGCUAGGAGUGUUAGCAGACGUUGCCAAGUGCCUUUCCCAUGUUCCUGUAUGUCUGAAAAGGAGUAAAAAUACUUGUACAUUCUUUUAAAUGACAUAUAAUGCC